RNAcentral lists this ribosomal RNA (500 nucleotides) under uncultured bacterium. Its description in RNAcentral is "partial 16S ribosomal RNA". It matches the Rfam family "Bacterial small subunit ribosomal RNA", at positions 30 to 523 of the family's 1533-position model. The record is from RNAcentral.
AUUGAACGCUGGCGGCAUGCCUUACACAUGCAAGUCGAACGGCAGCACGGGAGCAAUCCUGGUGGCGAGUGGCGAACGGGUGAGUAAAGUAUCGGAACGUGCCCAGUCGUGGGGGAUAACGUAGCGAAAGUUACGCUAAUACCGCAUACGAUCUAUGGAUGAAAGCGGGGGAUCGCAAGACCUCGCGCGAUUGGAGCGGCCGAUAUCAGAUUAGGUAGUUGGUGGGGUAAAGGCUCACCAAGCCGACGAUCUGUAGCUGGUCUGAGAGGACGAACAGCCACACUGGGACUGAGACACGGCCCAGACUCCUACGGGAGGCAGCAGUGGGGAAUUUUGGACAAUGGGCGAAAGCCUGAUCCAGCCAUGCCGCGUGCAGGAUGAAGGCCUUCGGGUUGUAAACUGCUUUUGUACGGAGCGAAAAGGCUCUCUCUAAUACAGGGGGCUCAUGACGGUACCGUAAGAAUAAGCACCGGCUAACUACGUGCCAGCCGCCGCAGUAA